AAAUGAACGUUGAAAAGAAGAGUAAUUAUUCUGAACUUUAAGAGAAGCUUUGGUUGGUGAAAAAAGCUACGAAGGUAUAAUGAAGAUGGUCUUGGAGUUUCACCUUAAGUAAGUAAGAGGUGAGGGAUACGCCCUUUAUAGCGUUGCGUCUUGAUAGAGCUUAAAUAGGCUAAUUUUAAUUAGUGAAAAAAGGUUGGUACCACGAUAUAUUCGUCCUUUGU
Molecule: non-coding RNA, 221 nt
Filed under: Clostridium sp.
Lineage: Bacteria; Bacillati; Bacillota; Clostridia; Eubacteriales; Clostridiaceae
Description: T-box sequence
Rfam family: T-box leader
About the family: Uncharged tRNA acts as the effector for transcription antitermination of genes in the T-box leader family. T-boxes are found upstream of many aminoacyl-tRNA synthetase genes and some amino acid biosynthetic genes usually in Gram-positive bacteria.
Source: RNAcentral